AGGGUGUAAACGAUGCGGGCUUGGUGUUGGGGGUCCUUAGUGGGCGCCCAGUGCCGGAGAGAAGUUGUUAAGCCUGCUGCUUGGGGAGUAUGUCCGCAAGGAUGAAACUUAAAGGAAUUGGCGGGGGAGCACCGCAACGGGAGGAGCGUGCGGUUUAAUUGGAGUCAACGCCGGACAACUCACCAGGAGCGACAGAUUACAUGAAGGCCAGGCUGAAGACCUUGCUUGACUAGCUG
This 236-nucleotide ribosomal RNA is filed under the name uncultured archaeon. Its description in RNAcentral is "partial 16S ribosomal RNA". It matches the Rfam family "Archaeal small subunit ribosomal RNA", at positions 748 to 982 of the family's 1478-position model. The record is from RNAcentral.